AUUGAACGCUGGCGGCAUGCUUUACACAUGCAAGUCGAACGGUAACAGGCCUUCGGGUGCUGACGAGUGGCGAACGGGUGAGUAAUGCAUCGGAACGUGCCCAAUCGUGGGGGAUAACGUAGCGAAAGUUACGCUAAUACCGCAUAAGCCCUGAGGGGGAAAGUGGGGGACCGCAAGGCCUCACGCGAAUGGAGCGGCCGAUGUCAGAUUAGCUAGUUGGUGGGGUAAAGGCCCACCAAGGCGACGAUCUGUAGCGGGUCUGAGAGGAUGAUCCGCCACACUGGGACUGAGACACGGCCCAGACUCCUACGGGAGGCAGCAGUGGGGAAUUUUGGACAAUGGGCGCAAGCCUGAUCCAGCCAUGCCGCGUGCGGGACGAAGGCCU
This 385-nucleotide ribosomal RNA is filed under the name uncultured bacterium. Its description in RNAcentral is "bacterial SSU rRNA". It matches the Rfam family "Bacterial small subunit ribosomal RNA", at positions 29 to 417 of the family's 1533-position model. The record is from RNAcentral.